Molecule: ribosomal RNA, 402 nt
Filed under: uncultured bacterium
Lineage: Bacteria
Description: bacterial SSU rRNA
Rfam family: Bacterial small subunit ribosomal RNA
Source: RNAcentral
UGGGGAAUCUUGCACAAUGGGGGCAACCCUGAUGCAGCGACGCCGCGUGAGCGAUGAAGCCCUUCGGGGCGUAAAGCUCUUUCGACCGGAACGAUAAUGACGGUACCGGGAGAAGAAGCUGCGGCUAACUACGUGCCAGCAGCCGCGGUAAUACGUAGGCAGCAAGCGUUGUUCGGAGUUACUGGGCGUAAAGAGUGCGUAGGCGGUUUUCUAAGUUCGGUGUGAAAUCUCCCGGCUUAACUGGGAGGGUGCGCCGAAGACUGGGAAGCUGGAGUGUGGGAAAGGCAGGCGGAAUUCCUGGUGUAGCGGUGAAAUGCGUAGAUAUCAGGAGGAACACCCAUGGCGAAGGCAGCAAACUGGGCAUUAUCUGACGCUGAGGCGCGAAAGCGUGGGUAGCAAACA